This 769-nucleotide ribosomal RNA is filed under the name uncultured archaeon. Its description in RNAcentral is "bacterial SSU rRNA". It matches the Rfam family "Archaeal small subunit ribosomal RNA", at positions 88 to 857 of the family's 1478-position model. The record is from RNAcentral.
GCUCAGUAACACGUCGCUAACCUAACCUUAAGUUUUGGAUAACCUCGCGAAAGUGAGGGUAAGCCAGAAUAGGAGAUUGUCUCUGGAAUGGAACUAUCUCCCAAACGCAAGGCUUAAGGAUGGGGCGGCGUCCGAUUAGGUUGUUGGCGGUGUAAAGGACCACCAAGCCCAUGAUCGGUAGGGGCCCUGAGAGGGGGAGCCCCGAGAAGGGCACUGAGACACUGGCCCUAGCCCUACGGGGUGCAGCAGGCGCGAAACCUUUACACUACGCGAAAGCGUGAUAAGGGGAUCCCAAGUGCUAACUGCAUAAGUUGGCUUUUGCCAAGUGUAAAAAGCUUGGAGAAUAAGUGGUGGGCAAGACUGGUGCCAGCCGCCGCGGUAACCCCAGCGCCACUAGUCGGAAUCACACUUAUUGGGUCUAAAGCGUUCGUAGCCGGCCAAGCUAAUCUCUUGUGAAAUCGUUAAGCCUAACUUAUCGACGUGCAGGAGACACUACUUUGGCUCGGGACUGGGAGGGGUUAGAGGUAUGCUUGGGGGGAGCAGUAAAAUGCUAUAAUCCCGAGUAGACCACCUGUGGCGAAGGCGUCUAACUAGAACAGAUCCGACGGUCAGGAACGAAAGCUAGGGGAGCAAUCCGGAUUAGAUACCCGAGUAGUCCUAGCAGUAAACGCUGCGAGCCAGGUGUUGCACAUUCUUUGGGAAUGUGCAGUGUCGAAACGAGGUGAUAAGCUCGCCACCUGGGGGAGUACGGUCGCAAGACUGAAAACUC